Molecule: ribosomal RNA, 207 nt
Filed under: uncultured bacterium
Lineage: Bacteria
Description: partial 16S ribosomal RNA
Rfam family: Bacterial small subunit ribosomal RNA
Source: RNAcentral
CACGUAGGCGGUUCGUUAAGUCAGGUGUGAAAGCCCUCGGCUCAACCGAGGAAUGGCACCUGAUACUGGCGAGCUCGAGGAUGGCAGGGGUGAGCGGAACUCCAGGUGGAGCGGUGAAAUGCGUAGAUAUCUGGAGGAACACCGGUGGCGAAAGCGGCUCACUGGACCAUCUCUGACGCUGAUGUGCGAAAGCUAGGGUAGCAAACG